AAGAGAAGACGACCUAACAAAAACUGCUAAUAAUUGUAAUUAUGGUUAAACUCCAUAAUUCUCUUA
RNAcentral lists this transfer RNA (66 nucleotides) under Boulengerula taitana (Taita Mountains caecilian). Its description in RNAcentral is "tRNA-Ser". The record is from RNAcentral. Lineage: Eukaryota; Metazoa; Chordata; Amphibia; Gymnophiona; Herpelidae.